GUGAACCUACGGGGCGCAGCAGUGGGGAAUAUUGCACAAUGGGGGAAACCCUGAUGCAGCGACGCCGCGUGAGUGAUGAAAUAUUUCGGUAUGUAAAGCUCUAUCAGCAGGGAAGAUAAUGACGGUACCUGACUAAGAAGCUCCGGCUAAAUACGUGCCAGCAGCCGCGGUAAUACGUAGGGGGCAAGCGUUAUCCGGAUUUACUGGGUGUAAAGGGAGCGUAGGUGGCAGGGCAAGUCAGAUGUGAAAACCCGGGGCUCAACUCCGGGAGUGCAUUUGAAACUGUCCAGCUAGAGUGCAGGAGG
This 305-nucleotide ribosomal RNA is filed under the name uncultured bacterium. RNAcentral describes it as "bacterial SSU rRNA". It matches the Rfam family "Bacterial small subunit ribosomal RNA", at positions 333 to 655 of the family's 1533-position model. The record is from RNAcentral.